UACGGGGGGAGCAAGCGUUGUUCGGAUUUACUGGGCGUAAAGGGCGCGUAGGCGGCCACCGCAAGUCGACUGUGAAAUCUCCGGGCUUAACUCGGAAAGGUCAGCCGAUACUGCGGGGCUAGAGUGCAGAAGGGGCAACUGGAAUUCUCGGUGUAGCGGUGAAAUGCGUAGAUAUCGAGAGGAACACCUGCGGCGAAAGCGACUCUCUGGCCUGUAACUGACGCUGAGGCGCGAAAGCUAGGGGAGCAAACGGG
This 254-nucleotide ribosomal RNA is filed under the name uncultured bacterium. RNAcentral describes it as "partial 16S ribosomal RNA". It matches the Rfam family "Bacterial small subunit ribosomal RNA", at positions 524 to 776 of the family's 1533-position model. The record is from RNAcentral.